Molecule: ribosomal RNA, 476 nt
Filed under: uncultured bacterium
Lineage: Bacteria
Description: bacterial SSU rRNA
Rfam family: Bacterial small subunit ribosomal RNA
Source: RNAcentral
GACGAACGCUGGCGGCGUGCUUAACACAUGCAAGUCGAACGGUAAGGCCCUUCGGGGUACACGAGUGGCGAACGGGUGAGUAACACGUGGGUGAUCUGCCCUGCACUUCGGGAUAAGCCUGGGAAACUGGGUCUAAUACCGGAUAGGACCAUGGACUUCACGGUUUGUGGUGGAAAGCUUUUGCGGUGUGGGAUGGGCCCGCGGCCUAUCAGCUUGUUGGUGGGGUAAUGGCCUACCAAGGCGACGACGGGUAGCCGGCCUGAGAGGGUGUCCGGCCACACUGGGACUGAGAUACGGCCCAGACUCCUACGGGAGGCAGCAGUGGGGAAUAUUGCACAAUGGGCGCAAGCCUGAUGCAGCGACGCCGCGUGAGGGAUGACGGCCUCGGUUGUAACCUCUUUCAAUAGGACGAAGCGCAAGUGACGGUACCGUAUAGAAGAAGCACCGGCCAACUACGUGCCAGCAGCCGCGGUAAU